GACGGGACCCCGCACAAGCGGUGGAUCAUGUUGUUUAAUUCGAUGAUACGCGAAGAACCUUACCAGGUCUUGACAUCCCCCGCGAUGCUUUAGAGAUAAAGCGGAGGUAUUCGGGGAGACAGGUGGUGCAUGGUUGUCGUCAGCUCGUGUCGUGAGAUGUUGGGUUAAGUCCCGCAACGAGCGCAACCCCUAUUGCUAGUUACCAUCAUUAAGUUGGGGACUCUAGCGAGACUGCCAGUGAUAAACUGGAGGAAGGUGGGGAUGACGUCAAAUCAUCAUGCCCCUUAUGACCUGGGCUACAAACGUGAUACAAUGGCUGGAACAAAGGGAUGCGAAGCAGUGAUGUGGAGCGAAACUCAUAAAAACAGUCUCAGUUCGGAUUGAAGUCUGCAACUCGACUUCAUGAAGCUGGAAUCGCUAGUAAUCGUGGAUCAGCCAAGCCGCGGUGAAUACGUUCCCGGGCCUU
This 466-nucleotide ribosomal RNA is filed under the name uncultured Acholeplasma sp. Its description in RNAcentral is "bacterial SSU rRNA". It matches the Rfam family "Bacterial small subunit ribosomal RNA", at positions 912 to 1382 of the family's 1533-position model. The record is from RNAcentral. Lineage: Bacteria; Bacillati; Mycoplasmatota; Mollicutes; Acholeplasmatales; Acholeplasmataceae.